AAAGUUACACAAGAAGAAUUGGCCCUUGACCAGCCUGAUUGGUUGCAGGAGGGGACCAAUCAGAGGUACCUCCCAUUUUUCAUCUGCAGCCCAAUGCAAAGUAAUGACAUGGAUCUGGAGAGAUUCUCUUAGGAGAGAAUCUGGCUAAGUGUCUAGCAGGAUGAUUGAUUAACAAGAUGUUUUGUUUUCAUCAUCUCAGAGAUAACUGUAUUGAGGUAUAAUUGAUAUGCCAAAUAACUGGACACAUUCAACUUGUGCAAUUUGAUGAGUUUGGAGAUACACAUACAUCUGUGAAACCAUCACCAAAAUCAAGAACAACUUUCUCUGAUCUCUGUGGACAUGCUUAAAAUGGCUGACUCACACAGCAAGACUAUUUAACUGUGCCUAAAAUCAACCCACAUUCAGAUGCUAACUGUAAUCCUAUUCCCUGAUCCAUCAGGAAAAAGAGUCUGAUUGACAUAACUUGUCAAGUGUUCGCCCCAGCUUCUAUCAACUAUGGGGAAGGAAGGGCCAGAAGAGGUGUAACCAUCAUGGCUACCAGGUUUCGAAAUAUUUACAUUACAUACUGCAUUUAUUAAAAUACAAAUUAAAUCUGCAAUAAAAAACUAAUUGACCAUUCUCUGGGA
This 626-nucleotide long non-coding RNA is filed under the name Homo sapiens (human). Its description in RNAcentral is "long independently transcribed non-coding RNA 2756, transcript variant 7 (LINC02756)". Lineage: Eukaryota; Metazoa; Chordata; Mammalia; Primates; Hominidae. The record is from RNAcentral.